NNNNNNNNUUUCCCUCCCUCUCUCUCUUUCUCUCCCUCUGUCUCUCUUCUCUCUUCUCUUUCUUCCCUUCCUUUUUCUUUUUCUUUCUCCAGUGCCAUUUCCCCACGCACUGCCAUAUGUAGGUCACUCUCUUCCCAAAACUUGCUCCGAACUGAAUGUAACUCGCAUCCCUCCCCUCCUCACUGCAGCGAGGCGAACGUGCUCGGAGGGAACAGCGGCUGCUGGAGACCCGCAGCACCCCGCAGCACGCAACGCCCAGCAGUUCGACCCUGCAGGACAACCCUGCACAGCACGGCUGCCCGCUCCGUGGGAGGGAAGGAGGAGGAGAGCUUUGUGAAGAGCUGCAGCGGGCACCGUGUGACACACAGGGCCCGUGCACAGCCCCCAGAGAGGUUCUGUUGUGUUUGUUGUGGGGGCAGUGAGGGACAAGGGCCAGAAAUAACAGGCACUACUACACACGCUGGAAAAAACUUUUCUUUUCUUUUCUUUUCUUUUCUUUUCUUUUCUUUUCUUUUCUUUUCUUUUCUUUUCUUUUCUUUUCUUUUCUUUUCUUUUCUUUUCUUUUCUUUUCUUUUCUUUUCUUUUCUUUUCUUUUCUUUUCUUUUCUUUUCUUUUCUUUUCUUUUCUUUUCUUUUCUUUUCUUUUCUUUUCUUUUCUUUUCUUUUCUUUUCUCCUUUCCUCCUUUCCUUUCCUUUCCUUUCCUUUCCUUUCCUUUCCUUUCCUUUCCUUUCCUUUCCUUCUCUUCCCCCUUUUCCCCCUUUCUCUUCGUUCUUCUAUUCUCUUUUUUCUUUUGAUUUUUUUCUUUUCUUUUUCUCUCUUUUCUCUCUUUCUUUCCUUGCCUUGCUUGAUCUCUUUCUUUCCCUUUCUUUUUCUUCUUUCCUUUAUUUCUUCCUUUUUUUCCCCCUUUCUUUCCCUCUGGUUUUACAUAUCUCUUUCUGUCUCAGUUUCUGCUCUCCUCUCCUCUCCCUUCGUUUUCACUCCUUCACUCACGCCCCUACUCACAAACCCCAGCGCCUUUCUCCAGCAUCACCUUCCCUGGAAAUAGGUCUAUGCAAAAUUCCCUAAUGACGUCCUUAUUAGAAAUAAACGUACGCGCGUAAAGGCGGAAAAAGUUUAACUGAUUUAUUUCCAAUGCUCUCGUUUAGAACGAACUGCCGUUGUCCCGAACAGCGCCGAGUUUCGCUGCCCAUUCGAUGUGCCGCAGGUUUCAUACCGAGCGCUCGCUAAUCCAAUUAAAAGUGCACCUGGCCUGGAAGAGCUCUGUAAUUAGCGGGAGCGUUUUUAGCCAUUUCCACGGGAACACCGUGAAAUCA
RNAcentral lists this long non-coding RNA (1313 nucleotides) under Chrysolophus pictus (golden pheasant). RNAcentral's name for it is "lncRNA (ENSCPIG00010010434.1)". Lineage: Eukaryota; Metazoa; Chordata; Aves; Galliformes; Phasianidae. The record is from RNAcentral.